This is a long non-coding RNA of Equus quagga, 4097 nucleotides long. RefSeq lists it as uncharacterized. NCBI's taxonomy places the organism in Eukaryota, Metazoa, Chordata, Mammalia, Perissodactyla, Equidae. The transcript is spliced from 4 exons. The record is from RefSeq and is a predicted model, not a curated record.
UACUGUUCUAUUGAACUAUAUGUCUUUUCUUGUGUCAAUACCACACCAUUUUAACUAAUUCUUUAUAAUAAGUCUUGAUAAGAGGUCAAAUCCUCCAGCUUCAUUUUUUAGAGGUAUUUGCUUGUUUUGCUUCAUUUUACCUUCAAUGUCUGUUUGUUAUUCUGCGCACUCCAGUAGUUCAGGCUAAAAUAGUUGACAACUCUUUCUCUGUUCCUCCAGCUCCCGCCUUCCAGAUCUUCAUGGCACCAACCCUCCCAUGCUCACGGAAGCCCCAAUUCCUAUAUGAAGUUCCUAAAAACACUUUAUUACAGAAAAUACUUGCAGCACCUCUGUUUUCAUGAUAAGAAAACAAACUGAUUCAUCUGAAAACAUCUUUGUUCUUCCUUCAUUCUUGGAGGAUGUUUUUACUGAGUAGAGAAUAUUAGAAUAAGCAUGGCUAUUUUAAAGUCUGUGUCUGAUAACUCCAAUAUCUAGAUACCUGCACAGAAGUUUUGUUCAAAUGAUUGAUGCCUGCAGUAGCUCUGAGAAGGUCAAGGCUACACCAUGGAAGUUUGACUUAGAUGAACUAGAUGCGACGCCCUGAACAAUUAGGCUCUGACUUUGAAGCUCAGGUUCCAGGUAAAAGAGCAGAAGUUCAGAGCGCUUCAAAAAUUUCCUGUUGCAGUUCAGAGUCCUGGAAAACACACUCUGAGAUUCUGAGAUAAGCGUGCAGGAGUUUUAUUGGGGAAUGCUCUCAGAACAAUCCCCGUGAAGGAGCAGGAAAAGCAAGUUUGGACUGGAGAACUUUGAUGCAGUUGCAAAAGCAACCUCAGAUCCACAGGGGGCGCUCUGAAACAGAGAUGUGCCAGAUGAAGGCAAGGGUGACCAGGCGUUUGUAUCCUCAUGGGAACCAGUCGUUGGUGUGGAUUUCUCCCUAGAGAGGUUUUCAUUUUGGGCGUGGGAGCUUCCUUCAGUAGAAAACAAUUUUCAGAGAGAAACAAAGCCGUGAGCUGUCAGCAGUGGGCCCUGUUGGCAGCUGAAUGGAUGAGGACCUCAGUCCUGCAGGGGGAUCUGAGUGAUGCAUCACAGCAGCCUCUACCCAAACAUCACGGAGAUGGGAAGUGGUGGAGCCCGAACAGUCCUACAGAUCCGCCUGGUUCCAAGGCUCAUGCUUCCAUUCACUAUCCUACACAUCAUGGCAUUAAGUGAAACAGCAUAUAUACACUUCAUGAGACAUGUAAGUGCUAAUUACAUGUUGAUUUCUGUGUCAAUCUGCGUCCAUUCAGGAGACAGAAACCACAUUGUGAUUUAAACAGGGGAAGUUUAAUACAAAGAGUUAUUAAGCUAUGAUAAAAGAGUAACUGUAAGACGUAAAUGAGCUCUAGAGGAUACGAUAGGGCUGACGGAGAAUGAGCAAGGAAGGUCAAACGUGGAAGGAAGGGUCCCCGCCUCAGGGGCUUCAGAUCUCACUGGAGAAGCCGCUGUUGCAGCCCACUGAUGUCACAGAACUCUACUGGUUUGCCCAGGCCCGAGCUGGUCUGCAGUCACUGGGCAAGCAGGAAGCAGCCCUCAGAGGCACAGCCAGGCCACAGUUAGCGGGUGGUUGUGCAGGCAAGUGGAGGGAGUGCACGCUACGGUGCAGACAGGACACGUGGUGUUCAUGUUGGGAGGGCCACAGCGUCACAAGAGUGGUGGGAGACAAAGCUCUAGCGAGGAAGGCAAGCAGAGGGGUCAGGGCACCAGUGUGGACAGGAGGCCUGAAGCUCAUGGAGUUGGUGUGGAGGGAGCUAUGGUACGGGACCACCACACUGGGCCAGGGCUGUGAGGUUGCCAAGAGACUGCACGUUCCUCGUGUUCUGGAACAGGAGCAUCACGGGAUGUCCCCACAUCCACACCACUGCCCUCCCCUAACCUCCCACCAAUGCUACAACCUGCUGGGGCAGCAGCUGGAAGCAGCAGUGGCGCCCCCUUCCUCCUGCCAUGCCUCUCCAGCGCUCCCUACUGAGAAAGCUUAACAUGCCCACUGCUAACAAGAAAGGCUUAAUCACGUCUGUUACCCCAGAGCGUGUGUUAAAGAGGGAAUUCGGAGGUGAGAGGCAAUAUAUUGAUAACCGGUGCAAGGAAACAGGCAAACGUUAUCCUGGAGUAGUCCUCCAACAAAUCAGAAAUGAGCGCUAGGGGCUAAAUUAUGUCCCCCCAAAUUCAUAUGUUGAAGGCCUAACCCCCAGUGUUCGGAAUGGAGCUGUGUUUGGAGGCAGGGCCUUUACAGAGGUAAUUAAGUUAAAAUAAGGCCCUUAGAGUGGGCCCUAGUCCAACAUGGCUGGUGUCCUUAUAAGAAGAGGAAAUCUGGACACGUAAAUAGACACCAGCAAUACACGCACAGAGAGAAGACCAUGUAAGGACACAGCAAGAAGGAGCCAUCUGCAAGCUAAGGGAAGAGUCCUCAGAGGAAACCAGCCUUGCCCACACCUUGAUCUUGGACUUCCAGCCUCCAGAACUGUGGAGAAUAAAUUUCCGCUGUCUAAGCCACCCAUUCUGUGGUAUUUUGUUAUGGCAUUCCUACAAGGUAAUAUACAAGGAGAGACAAUUUUAAGAAAACAAAACCAAAAAACUAAAUAUAAAGUAAAAACCCACCAACCAACCAAGACUGUGUCUCUUUCCAAUGAUUCAUGGCUGUCCCUCUAUCUACUGAUAACCUACCAGCAGUAGCUGUUUGCCUUCAGAACAUAAUUUCAGAUGACCUUUGACAAGAUCUAAAAACCUGUCUGGCUUGUCUUACCUGAGCCCAGAUCACAGGCAUGAAGGGAAAGCAAGUUUUCUGUGUGCUGGAGAGUCAGCGAAGGCCAGUUGGACCAAGACCGUUUCUGGAACAUUGGUAGGAAUGGUCGGUAGAAUCACCUGUGGGCUGCUUGAAGCUACAUCCUAACAGAUAAUAAGGCCACUGCUCUUUUUCCUCCCAGCAUCUCCCCCUGCUUAUGUCCACCAUAGAAUUGACUGGUCUUGUGUCAGAAGCAGGAGAAAAGGAGAGAGGUGCACGCCAACUUAAAACUCUCAGAUAAAAUUCAGUACUUACAACUUAUAAAGAGCUUGUUGCUGCAUAUAAAUUAAGGUAUUUUUCUUUUAUUUGAAUAUUAUGUCUUAUUCCUACACAUGAGGCCUUAUACUAAGUUAAUGUCAGGAAAAUGUGAAACCCAAUGUACUAGAAUGCUAUGUUGGCUCACAGAAUUCUGAAAAUGAGGUUCCGAACUAAUGUCCCCGGGAUUUGUAGCCCAAAAUAGCUUUGGUCCUGCUUAUCAAAGGCUGAAUUGGGUUUUUCUGAAGGCUGUUCAGCUCCCACACAGCCCUUUAUGCUUGCCCUGACCCUCGGCCCGUUGGAUGGCAUGCCCUGGUCUCUGAGCUGGUCCUGGAUGCUCUUCCUGGCUCCAACAGCACCCUUCCUAGGACCUUGCCCAGAAUCCCCACAUGCUGACAUGAUGUGGUUUUGCAGGCAUGCUCUAUCCAAGUCAGGAUAGUUCCCAGGUCAGUGUCACGCAGACACCUUAGAGGCACCAGCCACAUGGCCCGCUCUUCAUGGCUUUGAUCCCCAAGUCAGCACCUUGACCUGCAAAGCAUCUUUCAUCUGCUCCAUUUUGCUUUCAACAAGAGGAGUCAGUCGUGCCCUGGACUUCUCCCUCAAACCAUCUCCGGCUCGCCGCUCCACUCAACGAGGGAACAAAGCAGUUAAAGCGCCUGGCACACAGUGAGCGUUACAUAAGCGUUAGUCAAAUAGAAGUGAACCCCUGCAGAGCUUGAGUGAGGACAUUGCCCGGAGGGUGCUGCAUCGCCAAAGAAGUGAACCAGAACCUACCUUGGCAGAGGACGCCACAAAAGCCCCUGUGUCUCCUUAUCCGUGGUUUAUGCUCUUUUCACUCCUGGCUUCCACCCUUGGUUGGAGGCUGUUUGCAACAUGAAGACAAAUAUCGAAUAGGAUGCAACUGAAAUUGAAUGGAAAUUGAGUAGGAAAAUUCAAUGCUAUUAGGCACCAAAGAAGAACACAGGCAGAUGGUGCCAAGGGCACCAGAAGCAGGCUGGAUUUGAAGGACUGGGAGAGUCCCCAUGAUCCCUUCCGUGGACAGUCA